UUCUCUCUUCUGCUCUGCGUAUGUUCAGGCGAUAAAACUAGGGUUUAGAUAACUUUCAAUCAUCGAUCGUAUUAGCCGAGAAACAUCACAUAAAUCUCUUUAAUCUUCUCAAUACCUUUCAAUCAUCGAUCUGUAACUUGUCGAUCGAUAGGGAGUUUAAGGGUGAGAGAAAUAGAUUUCUUAUGUUCUUACUGAUUGAAGAUUGGAAGUUGUCUUGUAUGAUUAGGUGUCCCAGGAUUUCAGUUGGCGGACUACGAAGAUUGAGGUUUGAGUAGCUGGAGUUGAGGUCUUACUCCAUAUACAUGGCUGCAUUUGCGUGCGUUGAUUUUCUUUGAUGGACAUCAUUAGCUUCACUUGAUAGAUGUUUACAUACUAUCUUGUUGUUCUAUAUCCUCAGAAGUUUUGGAGCUUCUGAGACCAUCUACUAGAUAUACAGUGUCAAAAGAUGCUGGCGAUUUUAGUGAUCGUGAAAAAGGUAGAUAUACCUUGAUCAAAGAUUCAGAUGACCACCCUCUAGGAUUUUAUGAUAAACCGCUUCCGUGUUUUGGCUGUGGGAUUGGAUGGUUCUCGAUUGCAUUUAUCAGUUGGCUCGAACGUGCCCAACACCUCAAGAGAUGUAGCCUCGCAUACUCCAUGCGGUGUUUCCGCUUCACCUCAAAUAGGUUCACAUGCUGCGACAAGUUCACCUGUUGGGAAUAUUAUAUCACCAGCUGCGUCAAGUUCACCUGUUGGGAGUACUCAAUCACCAGCUUCAUCAAGAGUACGUGGUUUUCCUCUUUGUUCGUUACUGGACUACGAGGGUGAAGUAGUUGCAACUGGUGAGCUAUGUACUGGUUAUUUAUCUAAUCAGUUUCAUGGAGAUCCUAUACCUAUACAUCUUGCCAAGACUUUGCGAGUUGCCUGGCUCAGCUGACGAUAAUUUUUAUGAGAAGCUUCUAAUAUCUGGUCUCAAAGUGGAUGGGCUAGAAUGAGAAUCUUGUUUCCAACCUUUUCCAGUGGAUUGCCUACUGCCUACAUCGAGUUUUUUGAUGCCCAAGCUUUCAACAAACCAAGCCUGCAAAGGAUAUAUAGCUUAGUUGUGGUUAAUCGAAUGAUGCUCUAUUUGAUCAGAAAGGGUGGAGAACAAAGCAGCUUCAAGAUUUGUAAGUUGCAGUUAUUCAAGUUUUGUAGGCAGUUAGUUUCUGUUUUCCAUUAGAAAUUUGGAAC
Papaver somniferum (opium poppy) is the source of this 1206-nucleotide long non-coding RNA. RefSeq lists it as uncharacterized. The record is from RefSeq and is a predicted model, not a curated record. NCBI's taxonomy places the organism in Eukaryota, Viridiplantae, Streptophyta, Magnoliopsida, Ranunculales, Papaveraceae. The transcript is spliced from 8 exons.